This 1235-nucleotide ribosomal RNA is filed under the name Halomonas sp. KX33721. RNAcentral's name for it is "bacterial LSU rRNA". It matches the Rfam family "Bacterial large subunit ribosomal RNA", at positions 1057 to 2275 of the family's 2925-position model. The record is from RNAcentral. Lineage: Bacteria; Pseudomonadati; Pseudomonadota; Gammaproteobacteria; Oceanospirillales; Halomonadaceae.
GGUUAAGUGGGAAACGAUGUGGGAAGGCUCAGACAGCUAGGAGGUUGGCUUAGAAGCAGCCAUCCUUUAAAGAAAGCGUAAUAGCUCACUAGUCGAGUCGGCCUGCGCGGAAGAUGUAACGGGGCUAAACCAGGUACCGAAGCUACGGGUUCAUUCUUAGGAAUGAGCGGUAGAGGAGCGUCGUGUAAGCCGAUGAAGGUGUGUUGAGAAGCAUGCUGGAGGUAUCACGAGUGCGAAUGCUGACAUGAGUAACGAUAAAGGGAGUGAAAAACUCCCUCGCCGGAAGACCAAGGGUUUCUGUUCGACGCUAAUCGGAGCAGAGUGAGUCGGCCCCUAAGGCGAGGCCGAAAGGCGUAGUCGAUGGGAAACGGGUCAAUAUUCCCGUACCGGACAUGAUUGCGAUGGGGGGACGGAGAAGGCUAGGUGAGCCAGGCGUUGGUUGUCCUGGUGAAAGUGAGUAGGCUGGGGUCUCAGGUAAAUCCGGGACCCUCCAAGGCCGAGACACGAAACGAAGACACUACGGUGUCGAAGUCAUUGAUGCCACGCUUCCAGGAAAAGCCUCUAAGCUUCAGAUCAUGUGCGACCGUACCCCAAACCGACACAGGUGGUCAGGGUGAGAAUCCCAAGGCGCUUGAGAGAACUCGGGUGAAGGAACUAGGCAAAAUGGUGCCGUAACUUCGGGAGAAGGCACGCCGGCGUAGGGUGAGAGGACUUGCUCCUUCAGCCCGAACCGGUCGAAGAUACCAGGUGGCUGCAACUGUUUAGUAAAAACACAGCACUCUGCUAACGCGCAAGCGGACGUAUAGGGUGUGACGCCUGCCCGGUGCCGGAAGGUUAAGUGAUGGUGUUAGGAUUCGUCCGAAGCUCUUGAUCGAAGCCCCGGUAAACGGCGGCCGUAACUAUAACGGUCCUAAGGUAGCGAAAUUCCUUGUCGGGUAAGUUCCGACCUGCACGAAUGGCGUAAUGAUGGCCACGCUGUCUCCACCCGAGACUCAGUGAAAUUGAAAUCGCCGUGAAGAUGCGGUGUACCCGCGGCUAGACGGAAAGACCCCGUGAACCUUUACUAUAGCUUCACACUGGACGCUGAUGUUGCCUGUGUAGGAUAGCUGGGAGGCUUAGAACCUCGGACGCCAGUUCGGGUGGAGCCAACCUUGAAAUACCAGCCUGGCAUCAUUGGCGUUCUCACUCAGGUCCGUGAUCCGGAUCGAGGACAGUGUGUGGUGGGUAGUUUGACU